This 465-nucleotide ribosomal RNA is filed under the name uncultured bacterium. RNAcentral's name for it is "partial 16S ribosomal RNA". It matches the Rfam family "Bacterial small subunit ribosomal RNA", at positions 28 to 507 of the family's 1533-position model. The record is from RNAcentral.
GAUGAACGCUGGCGGCGUGCUUAACACAUGCAAGUCGAACGGAAAGGCUCCUGCUUGCAGGGGUACUCGAGUGGCGAACGGGUGAGUAACACGUGGGUGAUCUGCCCUGCACUUCGGGAUAAGCCUGGGAAACUGGGUCUAAUACCGGAUAGGACGAUGGUUUGGAUGCCAUUGUGGAAAGUUUUUCGGUGUGGGAUGAGCUCGCGGCCUAUCACCUUGUUGGUUGGGUAAUGGCCUACCAAGGCGUCGACGGGUAGCCGGCCUGGGAGGGUGUACGGCCACAUUGGGACUGAGAUACGGCCCAGACUCCUACGGGAGGCAGCAGUGGGGAAUAUUGCACAAUGGGCGCAAGCCUGAUGCAGCGACGCCGCGUGGGGGAUGACGGCCUUCGGGUUGUAAACUCCUUUCGCUAGGGACGAAGCGCAAGUGACGGUACCUGGAGAAGAAGCACCGGCUAACUACGUG